Long non-coding RNA from Vanessa atalanta (red admiral), 398 nucleotides. RefSeq lists it as uncharacterized. Lineage: Eukaryota; Metazoa; Arthropoda; Insecta; Lepidoptera; Nymphalidae. The transcript has 2 exons. The record is from RefSeq and is a predicted model, not a curated record.
CUGUUACUGGCCCCUACGGACCUUACGGUAAUCAAGGCCCGAAUGCCGUCAUCAUUAACAACAAAUCACCUUCAUCUGGUCCGUCAGCUUCCGCUUCAGCCUCAGCUGCAGCCGCUUCUGGACCACAAGGCCAAAAUAACGGUCCUCUUGGAAACGGACCUGGUAACGGCGCAGGACAAGGCGGAAUAACUGUCAUCAACGAUAACGGCUCUGGUUCAGGUUCUUCAAGCGCAAGCGCAGCAAGCGCUGCAGCUUCUGGUCCUAAUGGAGGAUAUGCUGGCCCAGGUUAUGGUCCUAGUGCAGGUGCUGCAGCAGCCGCUAGUGCAAGUGCAGGACCAGCUGGUGCCUACGGACCUGGAAAUGGUUUAUACGGACCUGGCUACGGCGCAGGGCAAGGA